RNAcentral lists this unclassified non-coding RNA (1011 nucleotides) under Hevea brasiliensis (rubber tree). Lineage: Eukaryota; Viridiplantae; Streptophyta; Magnoliopsida; Malpighiales; Euphorbiaceae. The record is from RNAcentral.
AUAUGUGAAGUUUCUCAUAUUGCUUAAACAGACAAAUAUAAGCUCUAGUGUAACCUUGUUUUUUCAAGAACAUCAAAAGACUGAUCAGCCAGACAUGAUAAGUAGAAAAAUGCUACAGCUGCAUACCCGUAUUAAACUUUGAUAUUUCAGCUUGGCCUUAAUUAUUGGAAACUAAUCACAGGCAUUUUGACGUUAAUCCGCCCAAAACAAAAAAGAGUUACCCAAUAACAUCACAAAAUCCCAGGAUACCCCAGAUGGAAACCACACUUAGGAGGCCUUUGGUGCCUUGUCUGGUAGGCUACUAUCAGGCAGGACAAGCUCUGGAGGUGUUUCACUAACACCCAACAUAGAGUCAUACUCCUCAUCCUUGCGCGCUAGUUUCUUUCGCAGCACCUUCUCAAAUUCAAUCUUAUCCAACUCUUUUGCAUUUUCAGCUGCAUGAACCUGCGCUAAAUUAGAAUAGUUUGCGGCUGACUCUGAGAUGAACGCUAUUUCUUCUUCUGUGAGCUUCCUCAAGAACCUCGCUGGAUUUCCUCCCCAGACCUCUCCGAAUGGAAUCCUUGUAUUCUGUCUUACAUGGGCACCAGCAGCGACCAUAGCAUUUUUCUCCACAACAGCUCCAUCAAGCACGGUUGCACCCAUACCAAUAAAUGCCUCGUCUUCAACAGUACAUCCAUGUAACACAGCGCUAUGACCUAUGGUAACAUUUUUGCCAAUUAUCGUAGGCAAAACCUUUCCACUGAUAUUCGAUUUAGCUACAUGGAUUAGAGAAUUGUCCUGGACAUUAGUUCCGGCUCCAAUGCUGACACUGUUCACAUCACCUCGCAGAACACACCCAUACCAAAUAGAAGCACUACGACCAAUGUGAACAUCACCAAUUAUAGAGGCACUUGGGGCCACAAAUGCAUCUUUCUCAACAACUGGUACUUUGUCAAACAGGUUCAUCAAAGUUCUAUGCCGCCUCCAGGGAAACUAUUACUUCCAAGAACACCUCUCGAGGCAUAGAACUUU